Molecule: long non-coding RNA, 464 nt
Filed under: Carica papaya (papaya)
Lineage: Eukaryota; Viridiplantae; Streptophyta; Magnoliopsida; Brassicales; Caricaceae
Description: long non-coding RNA (CPAP_LNC006861)
Source: RNAcentral
GGAAGAAAUCUAGCAGGCAAAAUUCUGCGGGGAAGCAGAUUGCCCACGCAGGUGCCGGGGACUGUGCGAGCGUGCAUGCGCGCACAGUAUCUGUGGGAUGUGCUAAAAAUGUGCACGUCCCAUCUGCACACACGUACGAACGACACGAGCACACAGCGUGCAUCUCCCAUCAGUGCGCACGGCGCGGGGUUAGGACCAGCAAGCAUCUUAUUGUGCAUAGGCGGGCUGCCCGCACCUAAUGUAACACGCGGACAGGUGCCGCACAUAGUGCACACACUGUCCACACAACAAGCCUGCGAGGAUAGGCCCUGUGCGCGGUGCCCAGUGUGCGAAGGACCUGUGCACGACAGAACACCUGUGUGCCUACAAGCUAGCCUAAAGUGUGUCAGCGGGGGAACUACCACCUCGAUAAUUGCAUAAUUGUUGCCUUAGUCGGUGUGCCACCACUGCCGGUGGAGGAGACC